UGGGGAAUAUUGCACAAUGGGCGAAAGCCUGAUGCAGCAACGCCGCGUGAGUGAUGAAGGCCUUCGGGUUGUAAAGCUCUGUCUUCUGGGACGAUAAUGACGGUACCAGAGGAGGAAGCCACGGCUAACUACGUGCCAGCAGCCGCGGUAAUACGUAGGUGGCAAGCGUUGUCCGGAUUUACUGGGCGUAAAGGAUGCGUAGGCGGAUACUUAAGUCAGAUGUGAAAAUCCCGGGCUUAACUUUGGAACUGCAUUUGAAACUGGGGAUUUAGAGUGCUGGUGAGGAAAGUGGAAUUCCUAGUGUAGCGGUGAAAUGCGUAGAGAUGAGGAAGAUCACCAGUGGCGAAGGCGACUUUCUGGACCGUAACUGACGCUGAGGCAU
RNAcentral lists this ribosomal RNA (382 nucleotides) under uncultured bacterium. RNAcentral's name for it is "bacterial SSU rRNA". It matches the Rfam family "Bacterial small subunit ribosomal RNA", at positions 355 to 754 of the family's 1533-position model. The record is from RNAcentral.